AGUGAACGCUGGCGGUAGGCCUAACACAUGCAAGUCGAACGGCAGCACAGUAAGAGCUUGCUCUUACGGGUGGCGAGUGGCGGACGGGUGAGGAAUACAUCGGAAUCUACUUUUUCGUGGGGGAUAACGUAGGGAAACUUACGCUAAUACCGCAUACGACCUACGGGUGAAAGCAGGGGAUAUUCGGACCUUGCGCGAUUGAAUGAGCCGAUGUCGGAUUAGCUAGUUGGGGGGGUAAAGGCCCACCAAGGCGAGGAUCCGCAGCCGGUGUGAGAGGAUGAUCGGCGGCACGAGAGCGGAGACACGGUCCAGAGUCCUAAGAGAGGGAGCAGUGGGGAAUGUUGGGCAGUGGGCGCAAACCUGACCCAGCCAGACCGCGUGUGAGACAGAGGCCUUCGGGUUGUAAAGCCCGUUUGUUGGGUAAGAAAAGCAGCAGCUUGAUACCCCGCUGUUCUGACGGUACCCAAAGAAUAAGCACCGGCUAACUUCGUG
This 492-nucleotide ribosomal RNA is filed under the name uncultured bacterium. RNAcentral's name for it is "partial 16S ribosomal RNA". It matches the Rfam family "Bacterial small subunit ribosomal RNA", at positions 29 to 507 of the family's 1533-position model. The record is from RNAcentral.